GAUGAACGCUGGCGGCGUGCCUAACACAUGCAAGUCGAACGAAGCGUCUUAAAGGAAGUUUUCGGAUGGAAUUUGGGAUGACUGAGUGGCGGACGGGUGAGUAACACGUGGGGAACCUGCCCCUAAGUCUGGGAUACCAUUUGGAAACAGGUGCUAAUACCGGAUAAUAAAGCAGAUCGCAUGAUCAGCUUUUGAAAGGCGGCGUAAGCUGUCGCUAAGGGAUGGCCCCGCGGUGCAUUAGCUAGUUGGUAAGGUAACGGCUUACCAAGGCGACGAUGCAUAGCCGAGUUGAGAGACUGAUCGGCCACAUUGGGACUGAGACACGGCCCAA
This 331-nucleotide ribosomal RNA is filed under the name uncultured bacterium. RNAcentral describes it as "bacterial SSU rRNA". It matches the Rfam family "Bacterial small subunit ribosomal RNA", at positions 28 to 334 of the family's 1533-position model. The record is from RNAcentral.